CCUACGGGCGGCAGCAGUGAGGAAUAUUGGUCAAUGGGCUUACGCCUGAACCAGCCAAGUCGCGUGAGGGAAGACUGCCCUAUGUGUUGUAAACCUCUUUUGUCAGGGAGCAAUUGGCGCUACGUGUAGCGUUAUCGAGAGUACCUGAAGAAAAAGCAUCGGCUAACUCCGUGCCACCAGCCGCGGUAAUACGGGGGAUGCGAGGUUUAUCCGGAUUUAUGGGGUUUAAAGGGUGCGUGGGGGGAAUGCAAAGUCAGCGGUAAAAGCGCGGGGCGAAACCUCGAUCCGCCGUUGAUACUGGCGUUCUUGAGUGGGCGAGAGGUAUGCGGAAUGCGUGGUGUAGCGGUGAAAUGCAUAGAUAUCACGCAGAACUCCGAUUGCGAAGGCAGCAUACCGGCGCCCAACUGACGCUGAAGCACGAAAGCGUGGGUAUCGAACAGGAUUAGAUACCCCAGUAGUC
This 460-nucleotide ribosomal RNA is filed under the name uncultured bacterium. RNAcentral describes it as "partial 16S ribosomal RNA". It matches the Rfam family "Bacterial small subunit ribosomal RNA", at positions 338 to 795 of the family's 1533-position model. The record is from RNAcentral.